UACGUCUCACGUAACUGGCGAAACACCGUGCGCCCCGGCCCCUGGCCCUGGCCCGGCAAGGUGGAGUCCCACCGGGGAACCUGAGACGUCACUCGCCGUUCGCCUGGGCAGCCAUU
This 116-nucleotide non-coding RNA is filed under the name Massilia sp. RNAcentral describes it as "ZTP sequence". It matches the Rfam family "ZMP/ZTP riboswitch aptamer (pfl RNA motif)". From Rfam's summary of the family: Previously known as pfl RNA. Lineage: Bacteria; Pseudomonadati; Pseudomonadota; Betaproteobacteria; Burkholderiales; Oxalobacteraceae. The record is from RNAcentral. RNAcentral also lists the same sequence under 1 other name.